CGCAAAUUGUAAGGCAACCCAGGUGCUUUGGAUAAGUAAUUGAGCAGUCCUUUUAAGGCCAAAGACAAAAGAAGAACUGAAGGUAACCCAGUGCUAUGGAUAAAAAAACAGUUCAUAUAAUAUAAUACUCCUGUUGAAAUAUAUGAUAAAGCGUAUAAAACAUGGCAAAAUCUGUAUCACAUGCCCUCGACCAAUAUCAUCCCUCAGGC
This 209-nucleotide long non-coding RNA is filed under the name Mytilus galloprovincialis (Mediterranean mussel). Lineage: Eukaryota; Metazoa; Mollusca; Bivalvia; Mytilida; Mytilidae. The record is from RNAcentral.